Molecule: non-coding RNA, 27 nt
Filed under: Rattus norvegicus (Norway rat)
Lineage: Eukaryota; Metazoa; Chordata; Mammalia; Rodentia; Muridae
Source: RNAcentral
UUUAAUUGAAUUCACUGGAUACGGUCC